AACGAACGCUGGCGGCAUGCCUAACACAUGCAAGUCGAACGAUUGCCUUCGGGUGAUAGUGGCGCACGGGUGCGUAACGCGUGGGAAUCUGCCCUUAGGUUCGGAAUAACAGCUGGAAACGGCUGCUAAUACCGGAUGAUAUCGCGAGAUCAAAGAUUUAUCGCCUGAGGAUGAGCCCGCGUUGGAUUAGGUAGUUGGUGGGGUAAAGGCCUACCAAGCCGACGAUCCAUAGCUGGUCUGAGAGGAUGAUCAGCCACACUGGGACUGAGACACGGCCCAGACUCCUACGGGAGGCAGCAGUGGGGAAUAUUGGACAAUGGGCGCAAGCAUGAUCCAGCAAUGCCGCGUGAGUGAUGAAGGCCCUAGGGUUGUAAAGCUCUUUUACCCGGGAAGAUAAUGACUGUACCGGGAGAAUAAGCCCCGGCUAACUCCGUG
RNAcentral lists this ribosomal RNA (435 nucleotides) under uncultured bacterium. RNAcentral describes it as "partial 16S ribosomal RNA". It matches the Rfam family "Bacterial small subunit ribosomal RNA", at positions 29 to 507 of the family's 1533-position model. The record is from RNAcentral.